UACAGGGGGUGCAAACGUUGCUCGGAAUUAUUGGGCGUAAAGAGCGUGUAGGCGGCCUGACAGGUCUGCUGUGAAAACUCGAGGCUCAACCUCGAGAUGUCGGCGGAAACCGUCUGGCUAGAGUCCGGAAGAGGAGAGUGGAAUUCCUGGUGUAGCGGUGAAAUGCGCAGAUAUCAGGAAGAACACCUAUGGCGAAGGCAGCUCUCUGGGACGGUACUGACGCUGAGACGCGAAAGCGUGGGGAGCGAACAGG
RNAcentral lists this ribosomal RNA (253 nucleotides) under uncultured bacterium. RNAcentral's name for it is "partial 16S ribosomal RNA". It matches the Rfam family "Bacterial small subunit ribosomal RNA", at positions 524 to 776 of the family's 1533-position model. The record is from RNAcentral.